AUUGAACGCUGGCGGCAGGCCUAACACAUGCAAGUCGAGCGGAUGAAGGGAGCUUGCUCCUGGAUUCAGCGGCGGACGGGUGAGUAAUGCCUAGGAAUCUGCCUGGUAGUGGGGGAUAACGUCCGGAAACGGGCGCUAAUACCGCAUACGUCCUGAGGGAGAAAGUGGGGGAUCUUCGGACCUCACGCUAUCAGAUGAGCCUGGUCGGAUUAGCUAGUUGGUGGGGUAAAGGCCUACCAAGGCGACGAUCCGUAACUGGUCUGAGAGGAUGAUCAGUCACACUGGAACUGAGACACGGUCCAGACUCCUACGGGAGGCAGCAGUGGGGAAUAUUGGACAAUGGGCGAAAGCCUGAUCCAGCCAUGCCGCGUGUGUGAAGAAGGUCUUCGGAUUGUAAAGCACUUUAAGUUGGGAGGAAGGGCAGUAAGUUAAUACCUUGCUGUUUUGACGUUACCAACAGAAUAAGCACCGGCUAACUUCGUG
This 483-nucleotide ribosomal RNA is filed under the name uncultured bacterium. RNAcentral describes it as "partial 16S ribosomal RNA". It matches the Rfam family "Bacterial small subunit ribosomal RNA", at positions 30 to 507 of the family's 1533-position model. The record is from RNAcentral.